Molecule: ribosomal RNA, 468 nt
Filed under: uncultured bacterium
Lineage: Bacteria
Description: partial 16S ribosomal RNA
Rfam family: Bacterial small subunit ribosomal RNA
Source: RNAcentral
GACGAACGCUGGCGGCGUGCUUAACACAUGCAAGUCGAACGGAAAGGCCCUGCUUUUGUGGGGUGCUCGAGUGGCGAACGGGUGAGUAACACGUGAGUAACCUGCCCUUGACUUUGGGAUAACUUCAGGAAACUGGGGCUAAUACCGGAUAGGAGCUCCUGCUGCAUGGUGGGGGUUGGAAAGUUUCGGCGGUUGGGGAUGGACUCGCGGCUUAUCAGCAUGUUGGUGGGGUAGUGGCUUACCAAGGCUUUGACGGGUAGCCGGCCUGAGAGGGUGACCGGCCACAUUGGGACUGAGCUACGGCCCAGACUCCUACGGGAGGCAGCAGUGGGGAAUAUUGCACAAUGGGCGGAAGCCUGAUGCAGCAACGCCGCGUGCGGGAUGACGGCCUUCGGGUUGUAAACCGCUUUCGCCUGUGACGAAGCGUGAGUGACGGUAAUGGGUAAAGAAGCACCGGCUAACUACGUG